UACGGAGGAUGCGAGCGUUAUCCGGAUUUAUUGGGUUUAAAGGGUGCGUAGGCGGCUUUUUAAGUCAGCGGUGAAAUUUUGCAGCUUAACUGUAACAGUGCCGUUGAUACUGCCAGGCUAGGAUUUGGUUGCUGUGGGUGGAAUGUGUGGUGUAGCGGUGAAAUGCUUAGAUAUCACACAGAAUAUCGAUUGCGAAGGCAGCUCACAAAGCCAAGAUUGACGCUGAGGCACGAAAGUGUGGGGAUCAAACAGGAUUA
This 257-nucleotide ribosomal RNA is filed under the name uncultured prokaryote. RNAcentral describes it as "partial 16S ribosomal RNA". It matches the Rfam family "Bacterial small subunit ribosomal RNA", at positions 524 to 780 of the family's 1533-position model. The record is from RNAcentral.